UUAUUUUAUUAUAAUAUGUAACCUAUGGAUUGACUACUAACUCUCAAGUUAGUGAUCAUACUUGAUUUUGAAUUUAUAUAUAUUUUUUAUUCUAAAAUAAAUCAUAUCAUAAUUUAUUUUAUAUUUUAUUGUAAUAAAAUAAAAGCGAAAGAAAUGAAUUAGAGUGGCUUAAAGAUAAGAAAAUAGCGAUACUAACUACCUAUGAUGCUCGAACACUCUACAGUCUUGGUGUACUCGCUAAUAUAGUUGAUUUACAAUAAGUGUCCUCACUAGGAUAUAGAGAUUUUAAUUCUCAGUUAAUUUUCUGUAGUACUCGUUUGUUCCUUUUAUCUUUAGAAGUAUUGUUAUAGAAAAUGCACUUAUUUUCUAUGAAACUAUGUAAUGUAAUUUUAUUGUAACUUAAAAUAAAAUUUUUGUACAUCAUUUCAACCAAUUAAAAAAUUUUAAUAUAAAAAUAUAAAAUAAUAUUUUAUUAGAAAAUACGCUUGCUUAUUUCUUAUGAAACUAUGCAAUCUAAUUUUAUUGUAGCCUAAAAUAAAAAUUUUCUAUUUCAUUUCAGCCAAUUAAAAACUUUUAAUAUAAAAAUAGAAAAUAAUAUGUUAUAAUGUUUUAGAAUAAUACUUUUAAA
RNAcentral lists this long non-coding RNA (628 nucleotides) under Ananas comosus (pineapple). Its description in RNAcentral is "long non-coding RNA (ACOM_LNC042136)". The record is from RNAcentral. Lineage: Eukaryota; Viridiplantae; Streptophyta; Magnoliopsida; Poales; Bromeliaceae.